Chinchilla lanigera (long-tailed chinchilla) is the source of this 221-nucleotide long non-coding RNA. RefSeq lists it as uncharacterized. The transcript has 3 exons. Lineage: Eukaryota; Metazoa; Chordata; Mammalia; Rodentia; Chinchillidae. The record is from RefSeq and is a predicted model, not a curated record.
CGGUGACGUUGGGGUCUUUGUGGAAUGAGGCAUUAUGGUUCUACGUGCUCUUGUGUGAGUUUAGACGCUGCCAAGGAACCGAACUGACGACCUUGUGCUUGCCAGGUUCAUUCUGGUGCUAGUGACAACAGUAGAGCCUAAAAUAAAAGCAGCUUAACAGAGUUCUCUGGAGGGUUGAAAUGAUCCGAGUCAAUUUUGCGUGACAGAUUCCAAUUUUUCAG